GCUGGGAUAGCUCAGGUAGCAGAGCGUUCGCCUGAAGAGCGAUAGGUCGGCAGUGCAAAUCUGCCUCCCAGCACCC
Molecule: transfer RNA, 76 nt
Filed under: Candidatus Nomurabacteria bacterium RIFCSPLOWO2_01_FULL_41_220
Lineage: Bacteria; Candidatus Nomuraibacteriota
Description: tRNA-Phe
Rfam family: tRNA
About the family: Transfer RNA (tRNA) molecules are approximately 80 nucleotides in length. Their secondary structure includes four short double-helical elements and three loops (D, anti-codon, and T loops). Further hydrogen bonds mediate the characteristic L-shaped molecular structure. tRNAs have two regions of fundamental functional importance: the anti-codon, which is responsible for specific mRNA codon recognition, and the 3' end, to which the tRNAs corresponding amino acid is attached (by aminoacyl-tRNA synthetases). tRNAs cope with the degeneracy of the genetic code in two manners: having more than one tRNA (with a specific anti-codon) for a particular amino acid; and 'wobble' base-pairing, i.e. permitting non-standard base-pairing at the 3rd anti-codon position.
Source: RNAcentral